ACCAAUCAAGCACCGCUUGGUAUUGGGCCUUCGCCCCCCGGAAGGAGGGCGUGCCCCGAAACAUUCGGCGGAGUCGCACCGGCUUUGGGCGUAGUAGAAUCUUCAAACGUCCUGCGGGCCGGCGGGUCUUUUGCCGUCAAACCACCAAACCAUAUCACCAGGUUGACCUCGGAUCAGGUAGGGAUACCCGCUGAACUUAA
This 200-nucleotide unclassified non-coding RNA is filed under the name soil metagenome. RNAcentral's name for it is "partial contains internal transcribed spacer 2 and large subunit ribosomal RNA". The record is from RNAcentral.